UGGGUUGUGGCUCAGUGGUAGAGCACUCGCCUGGCAUGCAUGAGGAACUGGGUUUGAUCCUCAGCACCACAU
RNAcentral lists this transfer RNA (72 nucleotides) under Ictidomys tridecemlineatus (thirteen-lined ground squirrel). Its description in RNAcentral is "Spermophilus tridecemlineatus (thirteen-lined ground squirrel) tRNA". It matches the Rfam family "tRNA". From Rfam's summary of the family: Transfer RNA (tRNA) molecules are approximately 80 nucleotides in length. Their secondary structure includes four short double-helical elements and three loops (D, anti-codon, and T loops). Lineage: Eukaryota; Metazoa; Chordata; Mammalia; Rodentia; Sciuridae. The record is from Rfam by way of RNAcentral.